Molecule: ribosomal RNA, 347 nt
Filed under: Mycobacterium sp. CT-29
Lineage: Bacteria; Bacillati; Actinomycetota; Actinomycetes; Mycobacteriales; Mycobacteriaceae
Description: bacterial SSU rRNA
Rfam family: Bacterial small subunit ribosomal RNA
Source: RNAcentral
AAUACCGAAUACACCCUGCUGGCUGCAUGGCCUGGUGGGGGAAAGCUUUUGCGGUGUGGGAUGGGCCCGCGGCCUAUCAGCUUGUUGGUGAGGUUACGGCUCACCAAGGCGACGACGGGUAGCCGGCCUGAGAGGGUGACCGGCCACACUGGGACUGAGAUACGGCCCAGACUCCUACGGGAGGCAGCAGUGGGGAAUAUUGCACAAUGGGCGCAAGCCUGAUGCAGCGACGCCGCGUGAGGGAUGACGGCCUUCGGGUUGUAAACCUCUUUCACCAGGGACGAAGCGCAAGUGACGGUACCUACAGAAGAAGGACCGGCCAACUACGUGCCAGCAGCCGCGGUAAU